This 116-nucleotide small RNA is filed under the name Streptomyces tsukubensis. Its description in RNAcentral is "Streptomyces tsukubaensis Streptomyces-metK RNA". It matches the Rfam family "Streptomyces-metK RNA". Lineage: Bacteria; Bacillati; Actinomycetota; Actinomycetes; Kitasatosporales; Streptomycetaceae. The record is from Rfam by way of RNAcentral.
GCGAGACGCGUGGUCCGGCGGCGAGAAGUGACCGAUAAACUGGUCGAGGACCACACCGGGCGCAGCUCCCGGUCGUCCACAAAUGAUCAGCCAGCAGCCGCUGCAACCACAGGGAG